AUCAGGGUUGACAGUUUAACCCUGAGUCGUCCUAAAUACAGGGGUCAAAAGGAUGAAUUAUACAGUAACCAUAUUAAUGUAGGUUCUGAGUGUUGCGAUUGUGACUAUUCGACCUAUCCGGAUGUCGGGUACCAUUGCUAGAUGGUCACUUCGAUUAGUACAGGAAUUGGUUCCUGUGCUACCGGCUUAGGUUCGAACCUAUGGGGUCACACACAUUAGAGGUUCUUAUCCGAUCUGAUGGCUGGUGUAGAAUCCUUCAUGUUUGGGACUCAGUGAUCGAGAAUCAGGAUUCUCUAAUCAUGAGUUUCACACAUUAUGGGUACCGGGGUCAAGAGUCCCACUGGUUGGG
Molecule: long non-coding RNA, 349 nt
Filed under: Elaeis guineensis (African oil palm)
Lineage: Eukaryota; Viridiplantae; Streptophyta; Magnoliopsida; Arecales; Arecaceae
Description: long non-coding RNA (EGUI_LNC078131)
Source: RNAcentral